UAUAAUGACAGGAAGCCAAGCUCGCAAAGGAGAAAGCAAAGGCAGAAGCCGCGGCAAGAAAAGGUGGAAGUCAACAAAACUCCCCGAGCCAAUCAC
RNAcentral lists this small nuclear RNA (96 nucleotides) under Coscinodiscus wailesii. Its description in RNAcentral is "partial Dictyostelium signal recognition particle". Lineage: Eukaryota; Bacillariophyta; Coscinodiscophyceae; Coscinodiscales; Coscinodiscaceae. The record is from RNAcentral.